Molecule: small nuclear RNA, 107 nt
Filed under: Phocoena sinus (vaquita)
Lineage: Eukaryota; Metazoa; Chordata; Mammalia; Artiodactyla; Phocoenidae
Source: RNAcentral
GUGCUCGCUUCAGCAGCACAUAUACUAAAAUUGGAAUGAUACAGAGAAGAUUAGCGUGGCCCCUGCGCGAGGAUGACAUGCAAAUUCGUGAAGUGUUCCGUAUUUUU